CCCCGGCCGCAGCCCCCGCGUGAGGGCCGUCCGCCCGCCCGCCUCCCCGCACCCGGCCGCCGCCUUCUCACCGGGAGACGAAGAACAGGGCCCGGAGCUCAGGGCGGGGCGCCGAGGGGUGGAGCCGGCUGCCCCCGCCCCGUCUCCGCCUCUCGUGAAUAAGUAAAAUCUUUUAAGAAAAACAAAACUGUGGAAAGUCUGGCCCCGCGUCGCUGAGCCGGCGACACGGAUUCCCCGGCCUCUGAGGUGGCGGCCGCCGCGGCCUCAGGAGGCCGCGGCCCGCGGCGACGGCCACGGUGCCCUGGUGCCGCCGACAAGGGCCCAGGCGCCCCCGGCCGUCCCGGCAUCUCAGCACGGACACCCCCUCGUGCUCGGGGGCUCCGGGCGGACACCCCGCCUCCAGAGUCACACACGUUCGUAAAGCGUGAAGCCCCGCGGCGGCGGCGGAACUGCGGGACGCGACCUUUUACCCCGCUGCACGCGCAAAAUCCUUGGAAAUGACGUGACCAACGUGCUCUGCUCCUUGUCUGCUCCGAUCCCACCUCCUCCUCCUCCUGGAAGGACGAAAGGCCAGGACGGCCGACCCCACAAGGGGUCCUCCGACCCACGCUGCGAUGGAAAGCGGGUCCAGCCCCGGCUUCUCCGGGCCGCUCACCUGUCCCCAAGGUGGCCGCGGAAGUGCAAGCUCCUGGCUUCCAGCCGACGCACAGCGAGGAGGCCCUGGUACCCGCCCGACACCCGACACCCGCCAAAGGUUUACCCGGCAGGGCCCGCCCACCUCACCCGCGACCGUCAGACACCGGCCAGCGUACCCAGCCUCAGGGAGAGUGCCCCGGAGGCCGCCAGGUUCCCGCCAUCACUUCUGCCACGUCCUGUGCUCAACUUCAAGGGUCUGUCAGGUUAUCAAUACACACGGGAACUUCAGAGCAUCACUUGUGUUAAACUAUUCAUUUUUGUAUGAAACUAAUGUCCUUACAAAAAUAGGUGACACGUAUUGAAAACAGUCCUGUGCCAGUAUUUCCUGCAUAGAUUUCUAAUGCAAACUUGCUAGAAACUAGAGAAAAUACAUCUAAUACGGCAGAUUAUAGUUUUUUUUUGUUUGUUUCAUUCACGGCCGGUCCACCUUAUUUUUAAAGGAAAAGCUUUUUUGGCUACAAUUUUUACAUUAUUAACAACAAUGAAUGGAUUUCUGAUGUUCAGAAGUCUCUAUUUGGCAAGCAGGAGCCUCCAGGGACCAGAAAACAUUUUGCAUUUAAGAGAGUAAUUCUGGGGGGGGAGGGGUGGCUCAGUGGGUUAGGCCUGUGCCUGCAACUCAGGUCAUGAUCCCAGGGUCCUGAGAUCAAGCCCUACACCAGGCUCCCUGCUCAGUGGGGAGCCUGCCCCUCCCCCUGUUUGUGCCCCUCCCAAAUAAAUGCAAUCUUUAAAAAUUUAUUUAUUUUUAA
This 1442-nucleotide long non-coding RNA is filed under the name Vulpes vulpes (red fox). RNAcentral's name for it is "lncRNA (ENSVVUG00000012614.1)". The record is from RNAcentral. Lineage: Eukaryota; Metazoa; Chordata; Mammalia; Carnivora; Canidae.